This 366-nucleotide long non-coding RNA is filed under the name Anas platyrhynchos platyrhynchos (common mallard). RNAcentral describes it as "lncRNA (ENSAPLG00000024153.1)". Lineage: Eukaryota; Metazoa; Chordata; Aves; Anseriformes; Anatidae. The record is from RNAcentral.
GCAAAACUAAAGGAAGUUCAAGUCAGAAUUGAACUUCGAGACGUAGCAGUCCUGCAUCUUUAUCCUAAAUUGUUACUCAAAGCUGAGGACCACCUCGAUGAGACUGUCCAUCUUCUCAGGCUAUUGUGUCCUCUAUGAUACAUUACACUCCAUGACAUGGCAGUGCCACACUACCAAUUGGUAUUAAUAUGUACAGAAGACCUUGUGAAUUAAAUAUAGAAUGACUGUUGAGUUUUCAAGACAACAGGAAAAACAGAGAUAAGGAAACCACCUUACUCAUCCUUUUUUGGUUACUUUUGAGAAUUUGCAUCUUACUGUUGCUUUUAUAUUUGGAAGAUUUUUCAGGCACACUUCAUAAAAUCAACA